GGCUUAGAGUUUGAUCAUGGCUCAGGAUAAACGCUGGCGGCGCACAUAAGACAUGCAAGUCGAACGGACUUAAUCGAUUCUUUUAGAUUCGAAGCGGUUAGUGGCGGACUGGUGAGUAACACGUAAGCAACCUACCUAUUAGAGGGGAAUAACAGUGAGAAAUCACUGCUAAAACCGCAUAUGCCGUGAACAUCGCAUGAUGAAAACGGGAAAAGAGCAAUCUGCUAAUAGAUGGGCUUGCGUCUGAUUAGCUAGUUGGUGUGGUAACGGCAUACCAAGGCAACGAUCAGUAGCCGGACUGAGAGGUUGAACGGCCACAUUGGGACUGAGAUACGGCCCAGACUCCUACGGGAGGCAGCAGUCGGGAAUAUUGCGCAAUGGAGGAAACUCUGACGCAGUGACGCCGCGUAUGGGAAGAAGGUUUUCGGAUUGUAAACCAUUUUAGACAAGGAAGAAACAAGACAGUACUUGUAGAAUAAGCUCCGGCUAACUACGUGCCAGCAGCCGCGGUAAUACGUAGGGAGCAAGCGUUAUCCGGAUUUAUUGGGUGUAAAGGGUGCGUAGACGGGAAGGUAGUUAGUUGUGAAAUCCCUCGGCUCAACUGAGGAACUGCGACUAAAACUGCUUUUCUUGAGUGCUGGAGAGGAAAGUGGAAUUCCUAGUGUAGCGGUGAAAUGCGUAGAUAUUAGAGGAACACCAGUGGCGAAAGCGACUUUCUGGACAGUAACUGACGUUGAGGCACGAAAGUGUGGGGAGCAAACAGGAUUAGAUACCCUGGUAGUCNNACCGUAAACGAUGGAUACUAGUGUAGGGGAUAUUAAGUCUCUGUGCGUCGCAACGCAGUAGUAUCCACCUGGGAGUACGCCGC
This 868-nucleotide ribosomal RNA is filed under the name uncultured bacterium. Its description in RNAcentral is "bacterial SSU rRNA". It matches the Rfam family "Bacterial small subunit ribosomal RNA", at positions 1 to 889 of the family's 1533-position model. The record is from RNAcentral.